Molecule: long non-coding RNA, 1740 nt
Organism: Cygnus olor (mute swan)
Lineage: Eukaryota; Metazoa; Chordata; Aves; Anseriformes; Anatidae
Exons: 2
Source: RefSeq, a predicted model, not a curated record
GCGGGCGCUGAGCGCGGGGAGGAGCCGCGGCCGCCGCACCCUCUCCAUUGGCUGCACCCGCGGGAGCGCGGAGCCCCCAGAGCAGGCGCGCAAAUAAAGACUGCACCUGGGGACACCACCUUAAGUGGGCAGAACUUCCCCUCGCCCGCUCCAGCGCUUUUUAAAGAUUUUUUCCCCUCCCUUACGCUUUUUUUUUUUGGUGCCUCUCCACCGCUCUCCGCUCCUCUUCCUACCGUGUUCUCCCUCGCCCAAAGUCUCCUUCCUGCACCUUCCCGCUCGCUGCCUGCCGCUGGCACAAGCCAGCCUGGUGCACCCAACGAGGGAGCUCUCCUUUCCUCCCGUUUGUUCCACUUCCCCUGGAAUUCUGCGCAACAGAAGGAAGAAAAAGAAGAAAACCAUAGCCACUAACAGUCUUAUUUACCAGCUGUUUUAUUUUAGUUCCCUGUCUCCAUAGCCCUCUUUCGAGUUUUUUAUUUCGGCUGAAGGGUUCAGUAAAGCAGUUGCCAGACGGGAGUUGUGCCUAGUUAACGAGACAGAUAGGAAGUUCUUCGGAAGAAGAUUAACAUCUUCUGGAGGGUUUGGACAGCGCUUAGCUUAGGGCUUUGAAUCUUCAUAGUGCUUCCGGCACCCCCAUAGCAUAAAUUCCCAGAUGCACUAAGGUGUGUGCAAGAGCAGUGGUAGGUUGGCACUACCAUGUUGGGACAAGCAGAGUGUUCCCUGUUCUGUCUGCCCACGCAUUACAAGAAGCCUCCAGCAUCCAUCUCCAAUUACCAUAUCAUGUGGGGCCGUUCAUAAGAAAGAUUAUUUCUCCCCUACCUAGGCUGAAGGAAAGUAGUAGCUUAACACAGUCUCAGUAUUGCAGAUACGGCCAGGCACGUAGAAGAAAAUUGUCUAUCUGCAUUCUUUGGAUUUUGUAGAUUCGGAGGUUUAAGGCCGGAAGGGACUAUGAACAUAACCCUGUUGAACCUCCCUCUUAAAAAAACAUAGAUUCUCCAUCAGUAGAGCUACAGAAUAUCAUCUGGAGAAGCUUUCAGUAGUUUAAGACCUUCAAAAGAUGGAGAAUUGCCAUAUCCAUUGGUAAGUUUUUCCCACAGUUAACAUUACAAAUCAUACCUGGCAACUUGUUACGGGAUUAAAAAGAAUGUUAAAAUGAAUGAAAAGGUGGAAAGAGGAAACAAAUUAAUCAGUGAGCAAACAAAAGUUUCAGGCUCUUACAUUCCCAUGAGCAUGGACUGUAGACAGUUUCACACCUCCUACGUAGAAUUUGAACAUCGCAGAUGCACCAGCUGUACUACCCUAAGAUGUAUAUUAACAUGCGAUGAGCUUGCCUGCAUUUUCCGAGUGAAAUAAGGACGAUCCAUGAGUUCUGUUGUCCUUCAUUCCACCGGAGUCUGUCUCAUACCUAACCAGAUUUCAGUGGAGUGAAGCACAAGAGACAUGGAGAUGAAUCAGCAACAAGAGGAACUGCUUCCCACUGCCAGAGAAAGGAAACUACAUGGAAAUUUGGAUACACCAAGCAUCCAGAGAUCAAGCAUGCUGGGAAAUGGAGAGAAGCAGUACACUGAGCAUUUUAAUAACCUGAAUAUUUCUUGAAAAUCUCCAGUAAGAGCCCAUUUUGAAAAUGUACUUACUUUUUACAUAAUACAUAAAAAUUAAAACGUCUACAAAGACCGCAAACUGCUUUCUUGAAGGCUUAAAUACCUUAUUAGCAGGAAAUUAAACUCUAAUGUGGAUAAAUUA